This 71-nucleotide transfer RNA is filed under the name Phrynosoma platyrhinos (Desert horned lizard). RNAcentral describes it as "tRNA-OTHER". Lineage: Eukaryota; Metazoa; Chordata; Lepidosauria; Squamata; Phrynosomatidae. The record is from RNAcentral.
ACCAGCAUGGUACAGUGGUUUGAGUGUUGGACUACAACUCUGGAGACAAGGGUUCAAUUCCCAGGUUGGCU